This 433-nucleotide ribosomal RNA is filed under the name uncultured bacterium. RNAcentral's name for it is "partial 16S ribosomal RNA". It matches the Rfam family "Bacterial small subunit ribosomal RNA", at positions 29 to 507 of the family's 1533-position model. The record is from RNAcentral.
AGCGAACGCUGGCGGCAGGCCUAACACAUGCAAGUCGAACGAACUCUUCGGAGUUAGUGGCGGACGGGUGAGUAACACGUGGGAACGUGCCUUUUGGUUCGGAAUAACUCAGGGAAACUUGUGCUAAUACCGAAUGUGCCCUUCGGGGGAAAGAUUUAUCGCCAUUGGAGCGGCGCGCGUCUGAUUAGCUAGUUGGUGAGGUAACCGCUCACCAAGGCGACGAUCAGUAGCUGGUCUGAGAGGAUGACCAGCGACACUGGGACUGAGACGCGGCCCAGAAUCCUACGGGAGGCAGCAGUGGGGAAUCGUGCGAAAUGGGCGAAAGCAUGACGCAGCCAUGCCGCGUGAAUGAUGAAGGUCUUAGGAUUGUAAAAUUCUUUCACCGGGGACGAUAAUGACGGUACCCGGAGAAGAAGCCCCGGCUAACUUCGUG